Molecule: long non-coding RNA, 1492 nt
Filed under: Strigops habroptila (Kakapo)
Lineage: Eukaryota; Metazoa; Chordata; Aves; Psittaciformes; Psittacidae
Description: lncRNA (ENSSHBG00005002730.1)
Source: RNAcentral
AACUGUUUGGUACCUCAGCUAGAUAUUUAAAUGUGUAAUUAAAAAUCUGGCAAUGUUUUUGACAUUAGCACAGCUAAAUGUAUGUAUUUCUGCCUUUCAAGUGAUGUUUAAGGUUACCUGUUUAUUUGAUGGAAAAGAAGUGGGUGCUUAAUGCCUUCAAACUUUGUUACUUAGUAAUGCAGAAUUAUUUCUGGUGGUGCUUUACUUGUUAACAGUGAUGUUUAGCAGUAGCGUGUGUGGCAUAUGGACAUAUCUAUGUGCAGCUAUUUAAUAACAACUCUAAGGAAUCCAGUUCCUUUUAUCCUGUUUGUUGUCUUGGACAGUUUUUUAUCAAAAUAAUAUAUACAUAGUAAAUAUUUUUCUCUUGUGACAACUUUUUUUCUGCAAAAAACAAUAUUGUAAUAAAAGCCAAGUCCAGAAAGUAUGGAUUGAUUGGGACACAAACCGUUUUAUUCUUUCAUUUGAGAAGGCUGAUAGCCUUUCACAAAAUCAUGUGGUUCAUAAUGAAUUAACCUCCUUCCUCUGCUGUGGUAAUGAAGUGAUUUUCGUAUUGUAUUGUAUUAUUUGCAUAUGCAAUUUUUCAGUCAAGUGAAGACUGUACAGCAUGGCUCAAAUACCUGUCUUGAUGGGGCAGCAUCAAUACUCUUGCAGCUGGCAAUGCACAGCAGCCUGCUCAGAAGGGAUCCAUAUGCCAUGCUGGCUGUGACAACCUCUUGAGACACACUGGCAUGAAGAUGAGCAGCAAAACAUGAGGUACUUCAUAUGGAACUAUUGAACUCUGCCUUUCUCCCUCAAGAUCCUCCCUACAGCAAGCAUGUCACCUGGAAAUAAAUUGCUAUGCAGCAGUGCUUAUUGAUUUUAUUUUAUUUUUUAAUCAACUAAUGUAUCAUCUGUCUUGACUUUUUACAGGUCAUUAUUACGUGUAUUGGAGCUUUCUAUCAUUUUACUACUUUGUAGUAAUUUACUGUGUACCGAUAUGAAAACCUGGAGAUUAUUUUAAAUUCUAAAGAUGGUAGAAAAUACCCUAUGAAGUGCUUCUCCAAAAAUCAAUCAUAUAGCACCUAAAAAAAAUGUGUAUUUACAUCGUUAAUUCAUCAUGGUUCUGAGUUUGACCGUUCAUCAGUCUGCUUCCUCUCAGUCCAGCCAGGAAACGCACCGAUGUUGAAGUAUCCAAGUCUAUCCAUUAGUUCUUCCAGCACCCACGCUUUCUGAUUGUUUGUCUGAAAGGGGGAUGGAGCUUCCUGGCACCAUGAAAUACGUGUUGGUGUUUGGGUGCUCUUCCAUGUCUUUAUCCAAAACUGAGACCGUGAUUACCAGCUGUGAAAUACAGAACAUCCUAUUAUAUGUAAUAGAAUUUUAUAUUUAUAUUUGGAUAUAAAUAUAAAUAAAUAUAUCCAAAUUUAUAUUUGGAUAUAAUUAGGUGUGUAUAAAAAUAUGUAUUUUAUGUCUGUAUGUAUCUCUGUAUAAAAUAUAUAUUCUGAUUAUAAUCAGU